CUUACAAGUGUUACCUUAAGGCUGUCAGAGAACUUUGCUCAAAGCAUACUAUAUAUUUAAUGUUUGCGGAUGAAAUACAAAGUGUAUUAAAAUGACUAGGAAGAAUGUUGGCAUGUGACUGGGAAGGUGUACGCCCGAUGUCGUUGCUGUGAAAAGCUACCAUAAACUUUUGAUCAUCUUCGGUUAGAGUACAGGUUGGUAAAGGAAGUGUGGCCUAGGGUGAAUCGAUGGUGCAGUGAACGAGACAAUGAAUCCUAGGUUGGUUUAGGGAGCAAAUGCUGGUAAAUGGGGGCAGCAGCCACCGAGGUUGUUUGUGGCAGCGUGUGAGGUGCUUCGAGCUGCAAAUGGUAGUGAAAUAAUGUCGGAUAGUAGGGUUGACGACUGCCAUAAGACACUUGGUCAAUGGUUUCCAAAUUAUUUUGACCAUAUUUCCCCCGGUAAACUUCUUUUAAUUGGGUGUCGUGGAUCUGGUACAAGUUCCAUUUUCAACCUGCAAUUAUAGUCUUUCUCAUUACAGGAAUUCUAUUUCUGCUCAUUAUAAGAUGGUUGUAUAUUCACACGAUGAAAUGUUUUUAUUAGGCGAAAAUCAUGUAAAGAGAUCCCUUUCACUGAUGAAGAGCGUGAAAGUAUAAAGUUCAUAAUCCAGAGCAACGUCUAUGGCUACCAAGGCCUAAAACAUAUUCUUAUUGGCUUUUUAAAGCCAUGGUGGCUGGUAAUUCGGAAGAUAUAUUUUCCAGUUGUGACACGUGAAUAUUCACCGGUAGUUGAAGAACUAUGGAAUCAUCCGGCAGUAAAAAUCAAUUUCGUCGUAGAAGGCUCACUUACUGGAUCAUGAUCUUCGCUUUUGUCCAUUUAUUGCUUUCCCAUCUUUCGAGUUUCAAAUCCAUUAUUACCAGCAUCUCUUUGGCUGCAGCUGUCAUGUCCAUCAGGUACCUUACAACCUUACACGUGUAUGCGCAAACGACCCCAGUCUAGAAUAAGUCUAGAAUAGACUGAUGUGCAGGUGUAAGAUAUAAAUAUAAUAGUACUUGCUAUUUUUACAUUGUAUAGUUCAUUUGGACGAAUUGGUGAAAUCGUCGACAAGGGAACUACUUGUAAGCGUGUGGUUUGAAUUCAUUGAUUUAUAUAUAUGAAGUAGCUUACACCUUAAUUUUUUAUGUUUAAACCUUUUCUGUUCUUUUAUUUAGGUUGAAUAUAACGUUGAUGGGAGGGAACUUAAUGAUUUUUUUGGUGGUUUAAGAUCUCACCAUAAGUUUCUCAUUUUUUAUUCUCGCCAAGAUCUGUGUUUCGAGCUGGUUUUUUGAGUAAUUUUAUCGAGGCUGUAUGAAGAACAUGUAGUAGCCCUGAGUAGAAUAAAUAUGGUUCUUCAUCUACAUCACAAACACAAGAUAAAAAACCUAACAAAAUGGUCAUGAGUUCACUAACUGUGGAAACUGAGGAUUCUUUUUCCAGUUUAUUUGAAUACGCUGCUAACAACGACUUCGAGGGUUUCAAAUGGUCAAUCGAGAACGACCCGUCAGCAAUCGACGAGGUUGGGCUGUGGUAUGUACGUAAGAAGGGU
Helianthus annuus (common sunflower) is the source of this 1561-nucleotide long non-coding RNA. RefSeq lists it as uncharacterized. The record is from RefSeq and is a predicted model, not a curated record. Lineage: Eukaryota; Viridiplantae; Streptophyta; Magnoliopsida; Asterales; Asteraceae. The transcript is spliced from 3 exons.